GUUAAAAUAAGCCGCUCAGUGUGAAGAUGAUACCCUCAACCUUUCGACGUGGCUACUGUGAUUAAUGUUUCUAUCCAGUCCUCUUUCUAAUUAUCAUUUAGCGUUGUAGAUACUUCAACUGAGAUAGGCAGAAGGCAGUCCAGAUGCAAUACUCAAUUACUUCUGCAGCUAUGAAGUAUUCCAGUUGACACAUCCAAGUGGAUUUUGUGAUGAAGAAAGCGAAUCUGACAACGACCAACGACUGUAUCAAAAAGAGAAACGUGGGCGGUAAACAUGCGGUACGGAUUCCUUAAUAUCGGAUUUGGAAAACAGCUAGAAAUAAUCGGUCGUGUACCCCCAUCAGAUUCUAGAAGGAUUUCACAGUCCAUUUACUGAAGGGAGGAUGAUAUCUGAUCCAUUGUUACGAACAUGAUCGUUUACAAGGAUAACAUCGUCGCAUAUCAACCAAUACGAUAGCAGCAAGGAUGAAGAUCCAGCAAAGGCAAACCAUCCUGAUGGGACAGUCUAAACUCUGGGGUUGUGGUUUAGCGUUAAUACGACUCGAUCAUAUUCAACGUAAUCACUUAAACAACAGUCAAUUGGAAAUAUCCACAAGUGAAAUUGACGAAGCUGUAUGUGGUAUUGUACAGGGUGUUCCUGAUAUUCAUUCAUGAACCCAGGCAACUUGUUAAGGACAAAGUCAUGCCACCGUAAAAGAUGAAACCACGAAAAGAAAGAAAAGAGCAUUUAAGAGGGCUCCAUAGGCGUCGAUUCCAGAUGAAGAAUAAGGGAAGAAACGUGAGAGAAAUAAAAUCCAAAGGACCAACUCUUCACAAAGGAGUACUCUAUUCGCACAGUAUUACAUUAAAGAAUAUAACUGUCAUGAACGUGAUAGAGAGACCAACAAAUGAGAGAAUGGGAAGUUAAUUUUGACCCUAGCAAUGGUAUCUCUGAAUUUGUUAUGAUUUUCACAUAUAUAAACUUUGGAAUGUCACAUUCUGCAACUAAUUCAGAACAUUAUUCACAGGGUGGCGAGCAUAUCUUACUUUCAUCGACGUUUACUAAUGGACAUGCCUUAGCGGUCAGAAUUGUGGUACAACA
This is a long non-coding RNA of Agrilus planipennis (emerald ash borer), 1080 nucleotides long. RefSeq lists it as uncharacterized. NCBI's taxonomy places the organism in Eukaryota, Metazoa, Arthropoda, Insecta, Coleoptera, Buprestidae. The transcript is spliced from 12 exons. The record is from RefSeq and is a predicted model, not a curated record.